This 467-nucleotide ribosomal RNA is filed under the name uncultured bacterium. Its description in RNAcentral is "bacterial SSU rRNA". It matches the Rfam family "Bacterial small subunit ribosomal RNA", at positions 29 to 507 of the family's 1533-position model. The record is from RNAcentral.
AACGAACGCUGGCGGCGCGCUUAACACAUGCAAGUCGUGCGGUGUCGAAGGCAAGUCUUACGACAAGCCUUCGACACAGCGGCGAACGGGUGAGUAACACGUGAGUAGCUGUCCUAAGGAGGGGGAUAACGCCUGGAAACGGGUGCUAACACCCCAUAUGCCUCGCAAGAGGUGAAAGUGUACUUGCUACAGCCUUAGGGUGUGCUCGCGGCCUAUCAGCUAGUUGGUGAGGUAACGGCUCACCAAGGCUAAGACGGGUAGCCGGCCUGAGAGGGUGUACGGCCACACUGGAAUUGAGAUACGGUCCAGACUCCUACGGGAGGCAGCAGUGGGGAAUCUUGGGCAAUGGGCGAAAGCCUGACCCAGCGACGCCGCGUUGGGGAUGAAGCCCUUCGGGGCGUAACCCGAUGUUGUAGGGGACGAAGAAAGUGACGGUACCCUACGAGAAAGCCCCGGCCAACUACGUG